GAUGAACGCUAGCGGCAGGCCUAACACAUGCAAGUCGAGGGGCAUCACGGAUUGCUUGCAUCUGGUGGCGACCGGCGCACGGGUGCGUAACGCGUAUACAACCUACCUUUUUGGAGGGGAAUAGCCCAGAGAAAUUUGGAUUAAUACCCCAUAGUAUAUUAGGAAUCUCCUGAUUUUUAUAUUUAAACAUUUAUGGCCAUUAGAUGGGUAUGCGUCCUAUUAGCUAGUUGGCGUGGUAACGGCACACCAAGGCUACGAUAGGUAGGGGUCCUGAGAGGGAGAUCCCCACACUGGUACUGAGACACGGACCAGACUCCUACGGGAGGCAGCAGUGAGGAAUAUUGGACAAUGGGCGGGAGCCUGAUCCAGCCAUGCCGCGUGCAGGAAGACUGCCCUAUGGGUUGUAAACUGCUUUUUACAGAGGAAGAACCACCCCCACGUGUGGGGGUUUGACGGUACUCUGCGAAUAGGGAUCGGCUAACUCCGUG
This 488-nucleotide ribosomal RNA is filed under the name uncultured bacterium. RNAcentral's name for it is "bacterial SSU rRNA". It matches the Rfam family "Bacterial small subunit ribosomal RNA", at positions 28 to 507 of the family's 1533-position model. The record is from RNAcentral.